This 707-nucleotide ribosomal RNA is filed under the name Adelphocoris lineolatus. RNAcentral describes it as "partial large subunit ribosomal RNA". It matches the Rfam family "Eukaryotic large subunit ribosomal RNA", at positions 635 to 1296 of the family's 3401-position model. The record is from RNAcentral. Lineage: Eukaryota; Metazoa; Arthropoda; Insecta; Hemiptera; Miridae.
UAGCUUUCUGGGACCCGUCUUGAAACACGGACCAAGGAGUUUAGCGUGUGCGCGAGUCAUUGGGUGUCAAAACUUAAAGGCGAAAUGAAAGUGAAGGAAACUUUGUUUUCGAGGGAGGAUGGGUUAGGUCCCUCUCCAGGGCCGGCCUCGCACUCCCGGGGCGUCUCUAUCUCAUCACGAGAGGAGGCGCACCUAGAGCGUACACGCUGAUACCCGAAAGAUGGUGAACUAUGCCUGGCCAGGACGAAGCCAGGGGAAACCCUGGUGGAGGUCCGCAGCGAUUCUGACGUGCAAAUCGAUCGUCGGAGCUGGGUUUAGGGGCGAAAGACCAAUCGAACCAUCUAGUAGCUGGUUCCCUCUGAAGUUUCCCUCAGGAUAGCUUGCGCUCGGACGAAACGAGUCUCAUCCGGUAGAGCGAAUGAUUAGAGGCCUUGGGGUCGAAACGACCUCAACCUAUUCUCAAACUCCAAAUAGAUGAGAACCCCGGCUUUCUUGAACCAUUUCUAUGAAGCCGGGGGCUUGGAUCAGAGUGCCAAGUGGGCCAAUUUUGGUAAGCAGAACUGGCGCUGUGGGAUGAACCAAACGCGGAGUUAAGGCGCCUCAAUCGACGCUCAUGUGAAACCAUGAAAGGCGUUGGUUGCUUAAGACAGCAGGACGGUGGCCAUGGAAGUCGGAAUCCGCUAGGGGGGGGGGGUAAAAAAAAAGGG